GCAGCAGAUCCUACAGGAAACAGGUUGUGAGGAGAGCGCAUUGUCUCAAAAGCAGUCUGCAAUGGCCAUGAAGAGGUGUGGGGAAGUGCAAAAGGGGCGGGUGCAUUGAAGAUAGAAUGUGAGUGCCCUACAUACUUCCAGGGAGCAGAGUGCACAGUGACUUGGGGAAGCAUGUAGCUUGGGGUAAAAGGCGGGGAGAUGUACACAUUGCUUGAGGUGGAACAGGGAUGCUACCUUAGGGAGAAAUUUGGGGUGGAGGCGGAGGGAGACCUUGUCUUUGUGAAAGACAGUAAAGGGAGGGUCCGCCAUCAUGGCUGCCAGUUCACUGAUACAAUGUGCAGAAGUAAUGGCCACAAAGAAGAUGACCUUCAUGGAAAGGUGGGUGAAGGAGCACAUGGCACGGGGUUCAAAGGGCAGCGAGGACCAAGUUAAGCUCCCAGGGAGGGGUCGACUUGCAGACCAAGGGAAAGACAUUGAGAAGGCCGCAGAGGAAGCAGACGGUAGUUGGGUGAGUGAAGAUGGAGAAGCCAUCCACCAGAAGGAGGAAGGCACUGAGCGCCACCAGGUGGACAUGAACUGAGGAGUGAGUGAAGCCAGAUUGUCUGAGGUGAAGGAGGUAGCUCAGGAUGACAGGGAUGGAGAUGUAGCCACGGUCACGCGACCAAAGGGUGAAGCGGCACCAUUUAGCUUCAUAGGACGCUCUGGUGGAUGGGCACUGGUUGUGCGUAAGGAUGUUGCAGAUGGGAGCAGAACAUACCAUGUCUAUCCAUAAGCCCCAUCCAAAUAUCAGGCUGUGAGGUGAAGAUGGUGAGAUUGGGGUGUUGGAUGUGGCCGUGGGCCUAUGUCAGAAGUUCAGGAAGGCGGAUUGGAGAGGAAAAGAAGGUCCGUAAACCAGUUCUGGCCAGGAUAAGCCGGGGCCACAAGGAGGACCAUUGCCCAAUCCCCAGCGUAUUUUGAGUGAGACUUGCAGAAGCAGAGAAAUGGGUGGGAAGGCAUAGCACAGUUAGGCAGUCCAAGGGAGGAGAGGGGCAUCAUCUUGCAAGCCUAGGCCUAGGACUUCCUUGAAACUGAAGAGAGAGUUUGUGAUUGUCCACCCUGGCAAAGAAAUCCCAGCGAGGUAUGCCUCAAUGGCAAAGAUGGAGCGGAGCAUGGGGUCGUGGAGUUCCCAUUCAUGGUUGGCAUGGAAGGAGCAACUGAGCUGCUUGCACGGAGAAGGUGCACCAAUUCCAAAGGAGAACAGCCUCUGCACCGAGGGUGGGGGAACGGGCCCCACCUUGCUUGUUGACAUAUAUGACCGUUGCCAUGUUGUUGAAGAGCAGUUGGACAUAGCAGGAGUGGAGGAGUUGCAGGGGGCACUCAGCAGGCCAGGCGAAUGGUGUGGAGUUUGAGGACAUUGAUGUGCAUUCUUGCUUACCUGGGCAACCAGAGGCCCUGGGUUAUGUGGCCUUCCACAUGCACUCCCCAAUAUGCCAGAGAGGCAUCGGUGGUGAGUGGCACCAGAGGUUUGAAAGGGACACCCAUUAGGGUGAAGGAUAGGUUGUACCACCAAGUGAGGGAGGUAAGGACAGAAGUGGGGAGGAGGACUGAUUUGGUGAGAGAGUUCGUCUGUGGGUUGUAAGUCAAGCAGAGCCAUAGUUGAAGGCAGCGCAUGUGAAGGCGACCGAAGAGCAUCACUGCUGUGUAGGCUGUAAUAUGGCUGAGGUGUGAGAGGCACCGGUGGAUGCAUGUGCAUAGUCGACAGCAAAGCAUUGCAAUGAGAGUGGUGAAACAGUCUGAGGGUAGGGUGGCUGAGCCGCAACAGAGUCAAGGUGCUCCCCUAGAAAGAUGCGGUUGCAAGUAGGAGUAAGUGAUUUUAUUUCGAUGAUGCAGAUACCAAGUUUGCCAAGCAAGGCACGCAGGGUUUGGAUAGUGGUGAGGAGACGAGUGUGGGAAGGUGCAACGAGGAGCCAGUCAUUGAGGUAGGGGAAGAAGGAAUGUCCCAGGCAGGGCAUAUAUGCCGCCACUAUGGGGGCCAGUGGGAAUACCAAAGGCAAGGACUCAGAACUGGUAGUGAGAAUCGCCUACCACAAAGUACAGGAAUUUGUGGUGGGCAGGACGAAUAUCAGUAUGAAAACAGGCACCCUUCAUAUCGAGAGCUGAGAACCAUGCUCCAUUGGGAAGACACAGGAAUAUCAGGGGAAGCGUGAGCAUCUGGAAGCAGAACCGUUGAGCAAGCAGAGGUUCAGAGUAGGGCAGAUACCACCCCCUUUCUUCGAUCUGAGAAAAUAGGGGGAGUAAAAGCCACAGCUGUGAUAGUGCUGCAGCAUGGGCUCUAUGGCCUCCCUGCAGAGGAGGGCAUCCACUUCCUGUUGGAAGAGGUGGUAUUGGGAGCGGUACGAGGGGCAACCAUGAGGAGGGUGGUGAGGAGGGAAGGAAAGAAAUGUUUUCCUAUUAGGUAGCCUUGGCAGGUGAUGUCCAGCACCCAUUAGGUUGUGGUAAUCUUGCCUCAGCUGAGGGCAAAGAGGGUCAAGGAAGCCUCCAAAGAUGACAUGGGGUGUAACUGGUGGAGUGGAGGAAGGUUCGCUGUUUGACACUGCAUCCCAUAUUCUUCAUAGUAAUAUUAUUAUAUCAUAAUUAUGAUGUAUUUUAUGCAAGAUAAGUCAUCUCAGGUGUCACUGGAAAAGUUAUCAUUUGCUGAAUAUGAUUAUCCUAUUUGUAAUGUAUGCAUGUAUCACUUUUGUAUCUGAAGUUAUAAAUACAGAUUAUGUAUCUGGACUUCCAAUGUAGUUACACCUGGGUAACGCCCAUUAGGUAAGAUGCUUUCAGUCUAGAGAGUGGGUGGGGAAUGGCCUAUUCAUGGUGGGGUGGAAAAUUAAGCUGGCCCUGAUGGUCUAGGCUUUUACACGCUUGGUCUAGGCCUGUCUUGCAGCUAGCAGGCCCCAAACCUGAGCUAAGCCAAGUGUUGUGCUCCCUGACAGUGGCGGUCAAAGGAUAAGACAUGGCGGGGGGGAGGGGGCAAAGGGAAGGGGGUGGAAAAGCCCCAAAACAAGAACAAUUUGCAAUGUGUCUACUGCUUAUGAAAUAUAAUAACCACUUGUGUGAAGCAAUUAUCUGAAAUGAAUUUUUAGAUGUCCUCUCCUAUCCCAAUUGUGUAAUUGGCCCCAUUGUGUAACUGUACCCUGUAAAGGACAGUUGUGUAAGAAACACCCCAUAAAGUACCAAAAAAGACCUUAACUAAAAUUGCACCCGUAUCGGGCAAGGUUGCGAAAAAACACUGGAAAGUACCAAGAGACCCUAACUCUCUAAUUCCUAAUAAUGUCACUAUUACCCAAGUAUGUGUAUCUUAAUUCCUAAUAUGGACACCAUUACUUAACUGUGUGUAAUUUGUUUGCAGUUUUAAGCUUUAAAAGCUCCUGUAUGCUUUGCUUCGGGGGAGCAGUUCCAAUAGCUGCUGCCCCCAGCGCAUUGGUGUGUUAUCAGUAAACAGGCCUCAGGCUGAGUCUCUGAUCAAGAAUGAUUUGUAGGUGAAUUUUUCCACAACAGUGGUAAUGGGAAAUUAGGAAGAACAGUAGGCUUUAGGCGAAGCUUAUCCCCCACCUGGUGAGCCUUCCUGAAAAUGCUACAGGCAGCCUGUAAGUAAUAGCUGCUAUGACUCUACAAGGACAUAUGACCAGGCCACAUGAUGCUGGACUCCAUCUUGGGAUGUCAGUAUUUUUCCAGAAACUGGUCUGGGAACCAAGCUUUAAAACAAAAGUUCCCUGCUCUAUGCAAAAUCUAUAUAAGGCAGGGAGUGACAUCAUCUGUGGUUUUGCACUCUCUACACAAGAAGACUCCUGGAAACACCUGAGGACCAAAGACUGAACUGGGGGAAGUGCUGGACACAGGCUAAAGUGAUUUCUAACCUGUGUAUGAAACACCUGGGGAUUCCAAGCUGCAAAGCAAGCAUAGCUCAUGCCUUAAGAAUCUACAGGUCUGCCUGUACCAUCAGUUAGGGUGAGAAUCUGCUAUUAAUAUCCAAUCAAUCUGGUAUAUUAAGUUUCAGUUGUAUUUUUGUUUAUUUGAUAGGUAAUCUGCUUUGAUCUGUUGCUAUCACUUAAAAUCUAUCUUUUGUAGUUAAUAAAUUUAUUUUCUAUUUUAAUCCAAA
This is a long non-coding RNA of Gopherus flavomarginatus (Mexican gopher tortoise), 4123 nucleotides long. RefSeq lists it as uncharacterized. The transcript is spliced from 2 exons. The record is from RefSeq and is a predicted model, not a curated record. NCBI's taxonomy places the organism in Eukaryota, Metazoa, Chordata, Testudines, Testudinidae.